Molecule: ribosomal RNA, 966 nt
Filed under: Laminatubus paulbrooksi
Lineage: Eukaryota; Metazoa; Annelida; Polychaeta; Sabellida; Serpulidae
Description: SSU rRNA
Rfam family: Eukaryotic small subunit ribosomal RNA
Source: RNAcentral
GUGUAAGUACACGCCUUAGUAUGGUGAAACUGCGAAUGGCUCAUUAAAUCAUAUGUGAUUUCUUAGAUCGUUGCGUCCUUUCGGGGACGACUGGAUAACUGUGGCAAUUCUAGAGCUAAUACAUGCAAUCAAGCUCCGACCUCACGGGACGAGCGCUCUUAUUAGACCAAGGCCAACCUGCUAGUUCGCUGGCAGUUUGCUGUGGUGACUCUGGAUAAAGCUCAGUUAAUCGCAUGACCUUUGCGUCGGCGAUGUAUCUUUCAAGCGUAUGCCCUAUCAGCUGUCGACGGUAGGGUAGCGGCCUACCGUGGCAAUUACGGGUAACGGGGGAUCAGGGUCCGAUCCCGGAGAGUAAGCCUGAGAGACGGCUUAUACAUCUAAGGAAGGCAGCAGGCGCGCAAAUUACCCAAUGGGGACACCCUGAGGUAGUGACAAGAAAUAACAAUACGCGACUCUUUCGAGGCCGCGUAAUUGGAAUGAGCACAUUCUAAAUCCUUUAGCGAGGAUCAAUUGGAGGGCAAGUCUGGUGCCAGCAGCCGCGGUAAUUCCAGCUCCAAUAGCGUAUAUUAAAGUUGCUGCAGUUAAAAAGCUCGUAGUUGACAUCCGACGCUCGUCUCGGCGGUCCUGUUCACGCAGGCACUGCCUUGACGGCAUCUACACACUGGCUUGCGGUCGUGCACGCUCGGCGACGGGUAGCACAGAUCGGAGCCCCGGGUGCCCUUCAUUGGGUGCCCGCGGGUGGCCUUUGCGUUUACUUUGAAGAAAUUAGAGUGUUCAAAGCGGGCUCUUGACAGCUCGUAUACUCGGUACAUGGAAUAAUGGAAUAGGACCCUGGUUCAUUUCCGUUGGUCUAUGGGCAAUGGGUAAUGAUUAAAAGGGACUGCCGGGGGCAUUGGUAUGGCGGGGGGAGAGGUGAAAUUCUGUGAUCCUCGCCAGACUGACUACAGCGAAAGCAUUUGCCAAGAA